GUCGAGGGGUAGAGUUAGCUUGCUAACUUGAGACCGGCGCACGGGUGCGUAACGCGUAUGCAAUCUACCUUGUACAGAGGGAUAGCCCAGAGAAAUUUGGAUUAAUACCUCAUAGUAUCUUUUGAAGGCAUCUUCAAAUUAUUAAAGUUCCAACGGUACAAGAUGAGCAUGCGUCCCAUUAGUUAGUUGGUGUGGUAACGGCACACCAAGACGAUGAUGGGUAGGGGUCCUGAGAGGGAGAUCCCCCACACUGGUACUGAGACACGGACCAGACUCCUACGGGAGGCAGCAGUGAGGAAUAUUGGGCAAUGGAGGCAACUCUGACCCAGCCAUGCCGCGUGCAGGAAGACGGCCCUAUGGGUUGUAAACUGCUUUUGUACGGGAAGAAACACUCCUACGUGUAGGAGCUUGACGGUACCGUAAGAAUAAGGAUCGGCUAACUCCGUGCCAGCAGCCGCGGUAAUACGGAGGAUCCAAGCGUUAUCCGGAAUCAUUGGGUUUAAAGGGUCCGUAGGCGGCCUUAUAAGUCAGUGGUGAAAUCUCCUAGCUCAACUAGGAAACUGCCAUUGAUACUGUAGGGCUUGAAUUUUUGUGAAGUAACUAGAAUAU
RNAcentral lists this ribosomal RNA (609 nucleotides) under Flavobacterium haoranii. Its description in RNAcentral is "bacterial SSU rRNA". It matches the Rfam family "Bacterial small subunit ribosomal RNA", at positions 61 to 669 of the family's 1533-position model. Lineage: Bacteria; Pseudomonadati; Bacteroidota; Flavobacteriia; Flavobacteriales; Flavobacteriaceae. The record is from RNAcentral.